CAAGGAAUAGUUUAAGUAGAAUUUCAGCUUUGGGUGUUGAAGGUGGGGCUGUGCUUCUUCCUUGA
Molecule: transfer RNA, 65 nt
Filed under: Cheirogaleus sibreei (Sibree's dwarf lemur)
Lineage: Eukaryota; Metazoa; Chordata; Mammalia; Primates; Cheirogaleidae
Description: tRNA-Pro
Source: RNAcentral